CCUACGGGAGGCAGCAGUAGGGAAUAUUGCUCAAUGGGGGAAACCCUGAAGCAGCAACGCCGCGUGGAGGAUGAAGGUUUUCGGAUUGUAAACUCCUUUUGGUAGAGAAGAUAAUGACGGUAUCUAACGAAUAAGCACCGGCUAACUCCGUGCCAGGAGCCGCGGUAAUACGGAGGGUGCAAGCGUUACUCGGAAUCACUGGGCGUAAAGAGCGCGUAGGCGGGAUAGCAAGUCAGAUGUGAAAUCCUAUGGCUUAACCAUAGAACUGCAUUUGAAACUGGUCUUCUAGAGUAUGGGAGAGGUAGGUGGAAUGCUGGGUGUAGGGGUAAAAUCCGUAGAGAUCGAGAGGAAUACUGAUUGCGAAGGCGACGUGCUAGAACAUAACUGACGCUGAUGCGCGAAAGCGUGGGGAGCGAACAGGAUUAGAUACCCCUGUAGUC
RNAcentral lists this ribosomal RNA (440 nucleotides) under uncultured bacterium. Its description in RNAcentral is "partial 16S ribosomal RNA". It matches the Rfam family "Bacterial small subunit ribosomal RNA", at positions 338 to 795 of the family's 1533-position model. The record is from RNAcentral.